GGAAAAACAGUUUUGAUUCGUUUUAAAGACUGGUUCUCGCUACCUCGCCCAGGCUGGCCUUGAACUCACUAUGCACCUUGAUUUCUUGAUGGCUAACUAUGAGUACUGAAAAUUCCAACCAGGCAGCUCGUCGUGGUGUGUCCUCUCCUUAAAGAGUUAAGCCCAGCCUGGCCUGCCCGAGAGAAACCCUAAACAGGCGCCACAUUCUUGCAGCAACUCUGUCACAGUCUCAGCUCAAAGUGGCCUCCAGAUGAACAAGAAACCUCCUGUGUUCACCAGAGAGAACCAGCAACCAAUUAGGCUGCAUCCUGCUUUUACCACCCAGAUAAGAAACUGCGAGGAAUGCCCCGGGCUUCUGCAGCUCCAGAGAAGGUGUCUCACGGAGACUGAACUAGUAUUCAGACUGUUUUUUCUUGCUCUGCUUCAAACGAGGAAACCUGGGCCUGAUGAUGGGAGGGAACACCUGAAGCAAGAGCUUUCCACUGUGUCUUUUAACUCACUGAAACAGAUUUGCUGCCCGUAACUAAGGGGCAAAGGACUCACUGCUCACAGCCCUGUUCAGGACUGUGCACACACUCAUACACACACACACACACACACACACACACACACAUCUCUGGCUUCUCAUUUCACAAUCUUAAGAUUAUUUCUUCCUUUUCCCUUUGUUUAUUCAGUAGCCUACAGAAUGUCUUGCUCAGAUGGGGGUCCUGGAGGCAGAAGGAUGCCACAGUGCGGUGUGUGGGUAAUAUAAAUCCAGGUUACUUCCAAGGCAUCGGAAGGUGAUGGGAGCCAGUCUGGGUGUGAACUCCCAGCCAGUAGGGCUCCCCCCUCCCCCACAGAAGGUGUCUCAGACUGAGCCAGUCCUGUCUCCCCACUCUUUCAUAGGGGACACCACCCAGAAUGCCCUCAAUCAGGUUGCCCCAGAUCUGUUCCUGUAUUACACUUAAAGUUGUGUCACACAUUAUGAGCGAAGGGAUGUGGCUUGUUUUUAAAACGUUAUAAUAAAGGUGGUACACAUUGUGGUGUGUUUUUAUAA
Long non-coding RNA from Grammomys surdaster, 1036 nucleotides. RefSeq lists it as uncharacterized. The transcript has 2 exons. The record is from RefSeq and is a predicted model, not a curated record. Lineage: Eukaryota; Metazoa; Chordata; Mammalia; Rodentia; Muridae.